Long non-coding RNA from Mesocricetus auratus (golden hamster), 3045 nucleotides. RefSeq lists it as uncharacterized. NCBI's taxonomy places the organism in Eukaryota, Metazoa, Chordata, Mammalia, Rodentia, Cricetidae. The transcript is spliced from 3 exons. The record is from RefSeq and is a predicted model, not a curated record.
GGAGCUGGUAGUGACCUAUUCUUCCUUUUCUGCAUACAUUCUUCAGGGGCUUUAGGUGUCACUUCUAACAACACUUCACCAUGUCUGUUCUUCCGUGGAACACCUGGAGCUUCUGUUUAUUGUUGACUUUUCUAGUUACAGCUUUGGAUCCACUAAAGAAGCCUGGUUUUAGUGCUGAUUUACGUGAGCUGUCAUCACCUCUGUGUGCUUAUAUGUGUGCAGUAUGCACACACUUUCAUCUGUGCUCUAAGCUCCAGGCCCCAUCCUGACUGUUUCUUAGCUCACAGAUAGUUAGACAAAAUGGCCCCUCGUGGGCUUAGACAAGAUGCUGGGCCUAACUGAGGCUGUUUUCCCUGUUAUAAUUUGUCACUGACCCCUUGUGAGGGGUGGAACAAAGUCCCUGCCUGUUCCUGUCUCACACUGCUCUGAGGGGAGACAUGAAAAAUCUAGAUUUGGUAAUAGGCCUCUGAGGGUCUUGUACAUUAUUAGUUAAAGGAAUAAUUCAUAUUAAGAACAGGUUGUUGGGAUGGAAAGACAGUCAGAAAAAUGGAACAAGCAGCUCCCAUGACAGGCUACAGCAGCAUGAGGUGUGUGGGGGCCAUACUCCUCAUACUUGUAGUCUUAUGGGACUGAUGACACACACACCAGACCUGGCUACAUGACUUGGCAGGUUAAGGGCUAAGUUUACUGCAAGGUUAGUGAUUCUAUGUGAUUUGGAUACAAACUGAUCAAGAUGUCCCCUCCCCCUUCCCUUUUUGAGACAGGCUAUCUCUGUGUAGGUCCUGACUAUUCAACUCACUAUGUUGACCAGGUUGGCCUUGAACUUACAGAGAUCUGCCUGCUUCUGCCUCCCGGAUAGACUGUUCCUUUUCUGAAGAGGGGUUAGAUAGUAGAAUCCAACCUACCAAGAUUCUCUAAGGUAAAGUACUAGGUUCCAUGACAACAGAGAGAAGUGACAGAUGGCUGAGAUUGGUUCUCCCUCCAGGAAGUGAGGGAGAUGGAUGUGUAAGCACUUGACUAUAAUACAAGGAUGAGUGACAUCAGCAUGUAAACAGUUGCACACAGUGGGGCCUUCACAGGGGGAAUGACUGACAGCUGCACACAGUGGGUCCUUCACAGGGGGAAUGACUAACAGCUGCACACAGUGGAUCCUUCACAGAGGGAAUGACUGACAGCUGCACACAGUGGGUCCUUCACAGGGGGAAUGACUAACAGCUGCACACAGUGGAUCCUUCACAGAGGGAAUGACUGGCAGCUGCACACAGUGGGUCCUUCACAGGGGGAAUGACUAACAGCUGCACACAGUGGGUCCUUCACAGAGGGAAUGACUAACAGCUGCACACAGUGGGUCCUUCACAGGGGGAAUGACUAACAGCUGCACACAGUGGGUCCUUCACAGAGGGAAUGACUAACAGCUGCACACAGUGGAUCCUUCACAGAGGGAAUGACUGGCAGCUGCACACAGUGGGUUCUUCACAGGGGGAAUGACUGAUUUCAAAGCAGACUUUGAGGAAACCUUUAUAGGAAAGGAAGAACACCUAUUCAGACUCCAGCAAGCACAGAGGUGAGGGAAAGAAUCUCACAACUCAUCUCAUGCUCAGGUAAUCUCGCUCUCCUGGCAACUGAUGAGGCUGUCUGGUUAACCACCAUGUGCUUUUUUGAGUUCCAAACUGUAGACCCUCCACUAAAGAAGCAAUCAAGACUCCUGAGGGUCCCUGGGACCCUGCCAUCCCCUGGACAUGUUCUACAAAGCUAAAGCCACCUUGGGCAGAGGACAUGAGACAUUCUGUCUCUCUCUCUUCUACACCUCACCCUGUACUUCCUCACCAAGCAGAGCUGGACCACCUGGCGCUACCAGGCCCGUAUUGUCUCCUCUGGUUCCUGGGAUAAUCUGGCCCCUCUGGCCUCACAGUUGUACCAAUGGUUUGUUUGCAACCCCCUCUCUGGAAACCACACUCUCAGAAGGCAAAAGAAAAACAAAACCCCAGUAACAGCAAAAGAAGCCUAAGACAUUUCCCCCCUCUUUCCUUAGACUAGUUAAUAGAACAGACUGUAGAGAACCCAGGUGAAAUGUCACUCUACUCAGCAGGUAAGGAGUUAACUGCCUUGUGAAGUGAGCAAUGCAGUAGUCACAAAGCUGUCACCGAUGUGGAACAGAGGAAAACCCCUGCCGCACAGACCUGUGCAUGCCACAGCCAUGGUCCCCAGGAAUGUGAUCAAAUGGCAUCUAUCCUGGAUUCAAAGGGCAGUUCAAAGCCUUUGUGGAUAUGUUGUAAGCUAAAAUACAUAACGAUAGUUUUAGAAUGUGUAUAGUUGAUUGGGAAUAUAAAGGUCAGCCAGAAUGGAGGAGUCAAUAAAGGGAGAUGGGGCUGUUAAUAUGAUCAAAAUGCAAAAUAUACCAUAAAUGUAUAAAAUGUCAUAAUUAAAUCAAUUAUUAUGUGUAAUUAACAUAUGGUGACACAUCUUUAAAAUGUAUGAAUGAGGUGUAUCCGUCAGCAUAGCUGGGUCCCCGAUCUGCUCAUAGGUUUGUUGUGUAAGCACAACUUUCUUGUGCCCCAGGUACCUUUUGGUCUAUCCAGCCACCUUCAUUAGCAUCUCCUAGCUUGGGGGUAUACAUGCCAUCCCAUCUCCUAAUAGAGAUCAGCAAGUGUCUUGUGACCAGCAGUCCUCAUCCAGCACAGUCCAGACAGCCAUUUCCUCCUACUUGUCAGAUUCUUCUGAAAUUCUGGAAAUACUGUAGAAUAUUUUCUAUGUCUGAUAAAUGAAACAACAAACAGCAGCUAUGUUUGUUUCAUAUGACAUGGAUCUCAUUGCCUUAUGCUGAUACAUAAAAUUGGGUUAAAUAGCUUUUCUCCCAUUCCUAGGGCACAAUGAAGAUAAGUAAGAUCCUAGGAUAGAUAAGUAAACAAACAAAGGAAAAAGGAAGAAACUAGUCAAGUCAUGUAUGGCAUCAUCAGUAAUGAUAAUGCCACCCCAGGCUUUUUGCUGGGGAAAGUGGUGGAGUUUCUUCCCUCCCUCCCCCCUCCUUCCCUCCCUUCCUCAUUC